This 694-nucleotide ribosomal RNA is filed under the name uncultured Gilliamella sp. RNAcentral's name for it is "bacterial SSU rRNA". It matches the Rfam family "Bacterial small subunit ribosomal RNA", at positions 662 to 1357 of the family's 1533-position model. The record is from RNAcentral. Lineage: Bacteria; Pseudomonadati; Pseudomonadota; Gammaproteobacteria; Orbales; Orbaceae.
UAGAAUUCCACGUGUAGCGGUGAAAUGCGUAGAGAUGUGGAGGAAUACCGGUGGCGAAGGCGGCCUUCUGGACAGAUACUGACGCUGAGAUGCGAAAGCGUGGGGAGCAAACAGGAUUAGAUACCCUGGUAGUCCACGCUGUAAACGAUGUCGAUUUGGAGUUUGUUGCCUAGAGUGAUGGGCUCCGAAGCUAACGCGAUAAAUCGACCGCCUGGGGAGUACGGCCGCAAGGUUAAAACUCAAAUGAAUUGACGGGGGCCCGCCAAGCGGUGGAGCAUGUGGUUUAAUUCGAUGCAACGCGAAGAACCUUACCUGGUCUUGACAUCCACAGAAUCUUGCAGAGAUGCGAGGGUGCCUUCGGGAACUGUGAGACAGGUGCUGCAUGGCUGUCGUCAGCUCGUGUUGUGAAAUGUUGGGUUAAGUCCCGCAACGAGCGCAACCCUUAUCCUUUGUUGCCAUUGAUUCGGCCGGGAACUCAAAGGAGACUGCCGUUGAUAAAGCGGAGGAAGGUGGGGACGACGUCAAGUCAUCAUGGCCCUUACGACCAGGGCUACACACGUGCUACAAUGGCGUAUACAAAGGGAGGCGACCUCGCGAGAGCAAGCGGACCUCAUAAAGUACGUCUAAGUCCGGAUUGGAGUCUGCAACUCGACUCCAUGAAGUCGGAAUCGCUAGUAAUCGUGAAUCAGAAUGU